CCAGACUCCUACGGGAGGCAGCAGUGGGGAAUAUUGCACAAUGGGGGAAACCCUGAUGCAGCGACGCCGCGUGGAGGAAGAAGGUCUUCGGAUUGUAAACUCCUGUCCUUGGGGACGAUAAUGACGGUACCCAAGGAGGAAGCACCGGCUAACUACGUGCCAGCAGCCGCGGUAAUACGGAGGAUGCGAGCGUUAUCCGGAUUUAUUGGGUUUAAAGGGUGCGCAGGCGGAUUUUUAAGUCAGCGGUCAAAUCGUGGGGCUCAACCCCAUCCAGCCGUUGAAACUGGGGAUCUAGAGUGUGCGAGAGGUAUGCGGAAUGCGUGGUGUAGCGGUGAAAUGCAUAGAUAUCACGCAGAACCCCGAUUGCGAAGGCAGCAUACCGGUGCACAACUGACGCUCAGGCACGAAAGCGUGGGUAUCGAACAGGAUUAGAUACCCUAGUA
RNAcentral lists this ribosomal RNA (443 nucleotides) under uncultured bacterium. RNAcentral describes it as "bacterial SSU rRNA". It matches the Rfam family "Bacterial small subunit ribosomal RNA", at positions 331 to 792 of the family's 1533-position model. The record is from RNAcentral.